Molecule: RNase P RNA, 359 nt
Filed under: Bacteroides helcogenes
Lineage: Bacteria; Pseudomonadati; Bacteroidota; Bacteroidia; Bacteroidales; Bacteroidaceae
Also listed under: 1 other name
Description: RNase P RNA component class A
Rfam family: Bacterial RNase P class A
About the family: Ribonuclease P (RNase P) is a ubiquitous endoribonuclease, found in archaea, bacteria and eukarya as well as chloroplasts and mitochondria. Its best characterised activity is the generation of mature 5'-ends of tRNAs by cleaving the 5'-leader elements of precursor-tRNAs. Cellular RNase Ps are ribonucleoproteins.
Source: RNAcentral
GCAGUCGGUCGGUCUGCCGCUUGCGCCCCGUGCGUAUAGAGGAAAGUCCGGGCAACGCAGAGCAUCCCACUUCCUAACAGAAAGCUGUCCGUGAGGGUAGAGUAACGCAGAAGAAAACAACCGCCGCAGCCUUCGGGCCACGGUAAGGGUGAGAAGGUGGGGUAAGAGCCCACCAGACUUGUGGCGACACAAGGGCUGUGCGUCUUGGGAGUUGUAAGGUCAUGUAAACCGGCGUUAUGAGAGUUGCUCGCUCCAGCCGGAGGGUAGACCGCUAAAGCCGGUAUGGUGACAUACGGCUUAGAUAAAUGGCAGACACCUUGAUAAAGGUACAGAACCCGGCUUACAGACCGACUGUUUUU